GAUGGAGAACGGAGAUUUCGGUUGAAGUUUUCUAUUGACUGAGUGGCGGACGGGUGAGUAACGCGUGGGUAACCUGCCCUAUACAGGGGGAUAACAGUUAGAAAUGACUGCUAAUACCGCAUAAGCGCACAGCUUCGCAUGAAGCGGUGUGAAAAACUGAGGUGGUAUAGGAUGGACCCGCGUUGGAUUAGCUAGUUGGUGAGGUAACGGCCCACCAAGGCGACGAUCCGUAGCCGGCCUGAGAGGGUGAACGGCCACAUUGGGACUGAGACACGGCCCAAACUCCUACGGGAGGCAGCAGUGGGGAAUAUUGCACAAUGGGGGAAACCCUGAUGCAGCGACGCCGCGUGAAGGAAGAAGUAUCUCGGUAUGUAAACUUCUAUCAGCAGGGAAGAAAGUGACGGUACCUGACUAAGAAGCCCCGGCUAAUUACGUGCCAGCAGCCGCGGUAAUACGUAAGGGGCAAGCGUUAUCCGGAUUUACUGGGUGUAAAGGGAGCGUAGACGGUUUGGCAAGUCUGAUGUGAAAGGCAUGGGCUCAACCUGUGGACUGCAUUGGAAACUGUCAGACUUGAGUGCCGGAGAGGCAAGCGGAAUUCCUAGUGUAGCGGUGAA
RNAcentral lists this ribosomal RNA (614 nucleotides) under uncultured Lachnospiraceae bacterium. Its description in RNAcentral is "bacterial SSU rRNA". It matches the Rfam family "Bacterial small subunit ribosomal RNA", at positions 64 to 685 of the family's 1533-position model. The record is from RNAcentral. Lineage: Bacteria; Bacillati; Bacillota; Clostridia; Lachnospirales; Lachnospiraceae.